GGCGAGGCGGGAGUGGAGGGAGGCAGGCUGCGCAGCAUCCUCAAACUGCAGCUUCGCUCUGCGAGCCUCGAAACUGCCGUCAGCCAAAUCGUACUACGCAUGCUUGCAGAAGUCGACUUGCAAAAUUUCCACUUGAAAAGGGAUUGAGGAGGAUCAGGGCGAAACGGGCACCCAGCUCUGGUUGUGAACACCAGUGACUCCGGGUGCACGGUAUCUCUAUGUCCUUCAAGUGUCCUUGUUACCCUAAACAUGGUCAACACCAAGCCCUGGUCAGCCACCAGCCAUGCUGAGCCACAAAAACCAGGCUGUGAUGUGCAACAGUGCCCUUGAGAGGUGCAGACUCGAGGGUGUGUGUGACAACUGACAUCUACAUGGCGCAGAUGCGGCUGGGCAAGUCUUGUCUGGACACACAUCCCCUAGUCUCUGCCUCAAAACAAAGUGGGUGAGCAGGCUCACAGGAAACCUGAGCGCUACCUGCCCAGGUUCCCCAACUCUGUGCCUGGAGCAGUCAGGCGGCACGUUUCUUUCUGGUUUACUCAACUGCUUCCAAUCUGACUAACAAAGAAAAUGCCAGAACCCCUUAGACAGAUGUCAUCUUCAGGAAAAGUCCAUGUGUCUGAAAUGGUUCUCUUUUGAAUGUAUUUAUAAAGAUACGAAAUCUUA
Odocoileus virginianus texanus is the source of this 663-nucleotide non-coding RNA. The record is from RefSeq and is a predicted model, not a curated record. Lineage: Eukaryota; Metazoa; Chordata; Mammalia; Artiodactyla; Cervidae.